GAUGAACGCUGGCGGCGUGCCUAACACAUGCAAGUCGAGCGGGAAAUUUUAAAAUGAAGCUUCGGUAGAUUUUUAAGAUGGAGAGCGGCGGACGGGUGAGUAACGCGUAGGCAACCUGCCCUUUGCAGAGGGAUAGCCAUUGGAAACGAUGAUUAAAACCUCAUAAUACUAAAUAGUCACAUGGCUGUUUGGUCAAAGAUUUAUCGGCAAAGGAUGGGCCUGCGUCUGAUUAGCUAGUUGGUGGGGUAACGGCCUACCAAGGCGACGAUCAGUAGCCGACCUGAGAGGGUGAUCGGCCACAUUGGAACUGAGACACGGUCCAA
RNAcentral lists this ribosomal RNA (323 nucleotides) under uncultured bacterium. RNAcentral describes it as "bacterial SSU rRNA". It matches the Rfam family "Bacterial small subunit ribosomal RNA", at positions 28 to 334 of the family's 1533-position model. The record is from RNAcentral.